Pelobates cultripes (western spadefoot toad) is the source of this 258-nucleotide non-coding RNA. NCBI's taxonomy places the organism in Eukaryota, Metazoa, Chordata, Amphibia, Anura, Pelobatidae. The record is from the annotation of a GenBank genome assembly.
CUCUAUACGUGUGAGUUCCUCUAGCAGGCGCUCUUUGUCCUGAUUGCCCUUCCUUAUUAGUAACCUUCCCAAUUUGUCCUGGUACAUCCCUGUCUGUUGAAAGACCCAAUCUUGGUGAAACAAUAUAGAGACUCCUUUGGAUUUGUGUGGUGAGAGCGCAUGGAAAAUUUGAGGGUAACAGGUUGGUUUGAAGGCCGGAGGGUGUUGUGUACAUAGGUGAGUUUCCUGUAAGCAGACUAUUGCUGCUUUAGAAUUGUG